This 451-nucleotide long non-coding RNA is filed under the name Lotus japonicus. RNAcentral describes it as "long non-coding RNA (LJAP_LNC000732)". Lineage: Eukaryota; Viridiplantae; Streptophyta; Magnoliopsida; Fabales; Fabaceae. The record is from RNAcentral.
UAUAGAGGAAUCAUAAUUCAGGAUGAGAAAGAAGGCAUCAUAUAUAAAUACAUUAUGGGGAAAUCCAGAUAAAAGUAAUAUACAUGUAAUUCAAGACUAUCUAUGUGUGUACAAUAUUAUUUUCAAACCCCUUUCCUAUAGAAUCCUUCACCUCUACCUUGGAUUUGCUUGCAUCCUAGAACGCAUGCCUCUUGGCAUGAUAAUUCAUCUGCAAAUCUUAUUUUCAUGCAAAUGGGAUUGCAUUGUUUCAAACACUCUGGAUAUGGCACCUUGCCAAUACUAACCUUGUCAGCCGUUAAGGGCACAUCUGCGUUUACCACCUCCGCCACCAUUAACAUGCAUAGAGCCAAGAUUAUUACCACACCUAAGGAGGAUUUGUUAGCCAUUGUUCUAGUUUAUUGUGUGCUAAAGAAAAGUAAAUUUAUCGAAAUACCAUGUAGAAUGAAAAUUC